ACAUGGAGAGUUUGAUCCUGGCUCAGGAUGAACGCUGGCGGUAUGCUUAACACAUGCAAGUCGAACGGCAGCGCGAGGAGCUUGCUCCUUGGCGGCGAGUGGCGGACGGGUGAGUAACGCGUGAGAAUCUACCUUCAGGCCUGGGACAACAGUUGGAAACGACUGCUAAUACCGGAUGUGCCGUAAGGUGAAAGUUUUUUCGCCUGAAGAUGAGCUCGCGUCUGAUUAGUUUGUUGGUGGGGUAAUGGCCUACCAAGACUUCGAUCAGUAGCUGGUCUGAGAGGACGAUCAGCCACACUGGGACUGAGACACGGCCCAGACUCCUACGGGAGGCAGCAGUGGGGAAUUUUCCGCAAUGGGCGAAAGCCUGACGG
RNAcentral lists this ribosomal RNA (374 nucleotides) under Acaryochloris sp. SU_5_25. RNAcentral describes it as "bacterial SSU rRNA". It matches the Rfam family "Bacterial small subunit ribosomal RNA", at positions 1 to 389 of the family's 1533-position model. The record is from RNAcentral. Lineage: Bacteria; Bacillati; Cyanobacteriota; Cyanophyceae; Acaryochloridales; Acaryochloridaceae.